GCCCUUAGAGUUUGAUCCUGGCUCAGGAUGAACGCUGGCGGUAUGCUUUACACAUGCAAGUCGUACGAGAGUUUUUAACUCAAGUGGCGGACGGGUGAGUAACACGUAAGAAUUUGCCUUUAGGAGGGGGAUAACAACUGGAAACGGUUGCUAAUACCCCAUAUGCUUUCGAGUAAAAUGGAUUUUCCGCCUAAAGAGAAGCUUGCGGCUGAUUAGCUUGUUGGUGAGGUAAUGGCUCACCAAGGCGACGAUCAGUAUCUGGUUUGAGAGGACGAUCAGACACACUGGAACUGAGACACGGUCCAGACUCCUACGGGAGGCAGCAGUGGGGAAUUUUCCGCAAUGGGCGAAAGCCUGACGGAGCAAUACCGCGUGAGGGAUGACGGCCUAUGGGUUGUAAACCUCUUUUUUCAGGGAGGAAUCAAUGACGUGUACCUGAAGAAUAAGCAUCGGCUAACUCCGUGCCAGCAGCCGCGGUAAGACGGAGGAUGCAAGUGUUAUCCGGAAUCACUGGGCGUAAAGCGUCUGUAGGUGGUCAAAUAAGCCAACUGUUAAAUCUUGAGGCUCAACCUCAAAAUCGCAGUCGAAACUAUUCGACUAGAGUAUAGUAGGGGUAAAGGGAAUUUCCAGUGGAGCGGUGAAAUGCGUAGAGAUUGGAAAGAACACCGAUGGCGAAGGCACUUUACUGGGCUAUUACUAACACUGAGAGACGAAAGCUAGGGUAGCAAAUGGGAUUAGAUACCCCAGUAGUCCUAGCCGUAAACAAUGGAUACUAGAUGUUGAACAGAUCGACCUGUGCAGUAUCAAAGCUAACGCGUUAAGUAUCCCGCCCGGGAAGUAUGCUCGCAAGAGUGAAACUCAAAUGAAUUGACGGGGAAGGGC
This 882-nucleotide ribosomal RNA is filed under the name uncultured bacterium. RNAcentral's name for it is "bacterial SSU rRNA". It matches the Rfam family "Bacterial small subunit ribosomal RNA", at positions 1 to 924 of the family's 1533-position model. The record is from RNAcentral.